GACGAACGCUGGCGGCGUGCCUAACACAUGCAAGUCGAACGGUGAAGCGCCUUCCUGUGUGGUGGGUGUGGAUGAGGGGCGAACGGGUGAGUAACACGUGAGUAACCUGCCCCCUUAUUCUGGAUAACCGCAUGAAAGUGUUGCUAAUACGGGAUAUUCUGGGUAUGUCGCAUGAUGGGUCUGGGAAAGAUAUUGUUUCGGUGGGGGAUGGGCUCGCGGCCUAUCAGCUUGUGGGUGGGGUGAUGGCCUACCAAGGCGGUGACGGGUAGCCGGCCUGAGAGGGUGGCCGGUCACACUGGGGAUGAGGCACGGCCACGACUCCUACGGGAGGCGGCAGUGGGGAAUAUUGCACAAUGGGGGCAAGCCUGAUGCAGAGACGCGGCGUGAGUGAUGGAGGCCUUCGGGUUGUGAACCUCUUUCGCCAGUGAAGCAGGCCUGCCUCGUUUGUGGGUGGGUUGACGGUAGCUGGAUAAGAAGCGCCGGCUAACUACGUG
Molecule: ribosomal RNA, 494 nt
Filed under: uncultured bacterium
Lineage: Bacteria
Description: partial 16S ribosomal RNA
Rfam family: Bacterial small subunit ribosomal RNA
Source: RNAcentral